UUGGAGGGCAAGUCUGGUGCCAGCAGCCGCGGUAAUUCCAGCUCCAAUAGCGUAUAUUAAAGUUGUUGCAGUUAAAAAGCUCGUAGUUGAAUUUCGGGAUCAAUACGUCGGUCGUGCUUUUUUGGUACGCACUGGCGUCAUUGGUUUCUCCUUUCUGACGAACCAUGAUGUCAUUAAUUUGGUGUUAUGGGGAGUUAGGACUGUUACUUUGAAAAAAUUAGAGUGUUUAAAGCAGGCAUUAGCUUGAAUACAUUAGCAUGGAAUAAUGAAAUAGGACGUUCGAUCCUAUUUUGUUGGUUUCUAGGAUCAACGUAAUGAUUAAUAGGGAUAGUUGGGGGCAUUAGUAUUCAAUUGUCAGAGGCGAAAUUCUUGGAUUUAUUGAAGACUAACUACUGCGAAAGCAUUUGCCAAGGAUGUUUUCAUUAAUCAAGAACGAAAGUUAGGGGAUCGAAGACGAUCAGAUACCGUCGUAGUCUUAACCAUAAACUAUGCCGACUAGGGAUCGGAGGAUGUUAAUUUUUUAAUGACCCAUUCGGCGCCUUACGGGAAAC
RNAcentral lists this ribosomal RNA (551 nucleotides) under uncultured Glomeromycotina. Its description in RNAcentral is "SSU rRNA". It matches the Rfam family "Eukaryotic small subunit ribosomal RNA", at positions 548 to 1098 of the family's 1831-position model. The record is from RNAcentral. Lineage: Eukaryota; Fungi; Glomeromycota.